Molecule: ribosomal RNA, 253 nt
Filed under: uncultured bacterium
Lineage: Bacteria
Description: partial 16S ribosomal RNA
Rfam family: Bacterial small subunit ribosomal RNA
Source: RNAcentral
UACGUAGGGACCAAGCGUUGUUCGGAUUUACUGGGCGUAAAGGGCGCGUAGGCGGCGCGGUAAGUCACUUGUGAAAUCUCUGAGCUUAACUCAGAGCGGCCAAGUGAUACUGCAGUGCUAGAGUGUGGAAGGGGCAAUCGGAAUUCUUGGUGUAGCGGUGAAAUGCGUAGAUAUCAAGAGGAACACCUGAGGUGAAGACGGGUUGCUGGGCCAACACUGACGCUGAGGCGCGAAAGCCAGGGGAGCAAACGGG